CAGAAUAAAUUGGCGAAUGACUUUAAAAAACAAAAGUACAGCCAACAGACUGAAAUACUAGAACUCAGACAAAACGACGAACCGCUAUUUUUCAGUGACUUCCUUUGCCAUGCUUUUAAUUUGAAACUGCGCAGGAAGUGUUCUUUACAUUACCGUAGCUUGCCUUUGGUGUCUGUGCCGACAUAGCGGACGGUAAUGAGGUGCUUAAUGUGCAGUAGAAGUGUACUGGAAGUGUUGAUUUCUAUGAACUCAAACUGGAUCCAAACACAAUGAACAGAAACCUCAAACUGUCUGAUAACAACAGGAAGGUGACAGAUGUGGAGGAGUAUCAGUCAUAUCCUGAUCAUCAAGACAGAUUUGAUGUCUGUCAGCUGCUGAGUAGAAAUGUUCUGACUGGUCGAUGUUACUGGGAGGUCGAGAGGAGAGGAAACGUUUAUAUAUCAGUGAGUUACAGAAGAAUCAGAAGGAAAGGAAACAGUGAUGACUGUUGGUUUGGAUAUAACGAUCAGUCCUGGAGUCUGUACUGCUAUGAUGGUCAUUACUGUGUCCUUCACAAUAAGAGACAAACAUCCAUCUCCUCCUCCUCCUCCUCCUCCUCCUCCUCCUCCUCCUCCUCCUCCUCCUCUAACAGAGUAGCAGUGUAUGUGGACUGUCCUGCUGGCACUCUGUCCUUCUACAGAGUCUCCUCUGACACACUGAUCCACCUCCACACCUUCAACACCACAUUCACUGAGCCUCUGUAUGCUGGGUUUGGGUUCUGGGUUGGUUCUGGUUCCUCAGUGUCUCUGUGUGGUCUGUAGGAAGGAGAGUCUCCUCCUGUCAGAGAAACGUUCUCAUGUUAUUUAGCACCAACCUGAUCUCUCACUGGUUGUAAAUAGAGUUUCUAAAGCCAACAUGGUUUCCACAUGACUGACAGUUAGUUAGUCAGUCACAUAUAUCCACAUUUAAAAAGCUGUAAAACAGAAGCUGAUUUUCUCAGAGCAGAUAUCUCAGUCUGUUAGAGGACUGUUUGGAGGUUCGGAGGUCGUGGCUUUGAUCCUUAUGAGUCUCAGUCAAUGUUCAAGUCCAACACCCAAAGUGAAACUCAGAAGCUCUCAGAGAGAAAACCACCAGCGGCUCAAAGUUUACUGAAACGUCAAGUUGUGACCGAGCUUUUUAAACAUGUUGGAAGAGUUUAGCCACUAACUAUAACACACAUAAUGACAGUAAGUAUCUGCUGGCCUAGAGAGGAACUUUGGUCUUUCUCCUCUUAUUUGGUUUUUUGGGCUUCUUGUUCAAUGACUUGUUUUUUUAAUCAUAUAGUGGAUUCAGAAACCAACAUGUUUUUAUGUGUGUCUCUACUGGAUGUGCAUGUACAGCUGUCAAUCAACAUGAUGAUUCAUCCAUUCAUAGUUUUGUCUAUAAAAUGUCAGAAAAUAGUGAAAAUAUUGUGUUUUUAUUAUUUUACUGUUUAGUUUUAACUUGUUUUUACAGUUUAAUAUUUAGUUUUUAUGUAAAUCACAUUGAAUUGACCCAGUGUAUGAAAUGUGCUAUA
Long non-coding RNA from Scomber scombrus (Atlantic mackerel), 1534 nucleotides. RefSeq lists it as uncharacterized. Lineage: Eukaryota; Metazoa; Chordata; Actinopteri; Scombriformes; Scombridae. The record is from RefSeq and is a predicted model, not a curated record. The transcript is spliced from 2 exons.